GUGCUCGCUUCGGCAGCACAUAUACUGAAAUUGGAACGAUACAGAGAAGAUUAGCAUGGCCCCUACACAACGAUGACUCCAAAGUUCGUGAAGCGUUAUGUAUUUUU
Molecule: small nuclear RNA, 107 nt
Organism: Psammomys obesus (fat sand rat)
Lineage: Eukaryota; Metazoa; Chordata; Mammalia; Rodentia; Muridae
Source: RefSeq, a predicted model, not a curated record